GAUGAACGCUGGCGGCGUGCCUAAUACAUGCAAGUCGAGCGAACAGACGAGGAGCUUGCUCCUCUGACGUUAGCGGCGGACGGGUGAGUAACACGUGGAUAACCUACCUAUAAGACUGGAAUAACUUCGGGAAACCGGAGCUAAUACCGGAUAAUAUAUUGAACCGCAUGGUUCAAUAGUGAAAGACGGUUUUGCUGUCACUUAUAGAUGGAUCCGCGCCGCAUUAGCUAGUUGGUAAGGUAACGGCUUACCAAGGCAACGAUGCGUAGCCGACCUGAGAGGGUGAUCGGCCACACUGGAACUGAGACACGGUCCAGACUCCUACGGGAGGCAGCAGUAGGGAAUCUUCCGCAAUGGGCGAAAGCCUGACGGAGCAACGCCGCGUGAGUGAUGAAGGUCUCCGGAUCGUAAAACUCUGUUAUUAGGGAAGAACAAAUGUGUAAGUAACUAUGCACGUCUUGACGGUACCUAAUCAGAAAGCCACGGCUAACUACGUG
Molecule: ribosomal RNA, 497 nt
Filed under: uncultured bacterium
Lineage: Bacteria
Description: partial 16S ribosomal RNA
Rfam family: Bacterial small subunit ribosomal RNA
Source: RNAcentral